ACCUGGCUGGCUCAAUUGGUAGAGCAUAUGAUUCUUGAUCUUGGGGUUGGGAGUUUAAGUCCCACCUUGGGUG
RNAcentral lists this transfer RNA (73 nucleotides) under Canis lupus familiaris (dog). It matches the Rfam family "tRNA". Rfam says of the family: Transfer RNA (tRNA) molecules are approximately 80 nucleotides in length. Their secondary structure includes four short double-helical elements and three loops (D, anti-codon, and T loops). Further hydrogen bonds mediate the characteristic L-shaped molecular structure. tRNAs have two regions of fundamental functional importance: the anti-codon, which is responsible for specific mRNA codon recognition, and the 3' end, to which the tRNAs corresponding amino acid is attached (by aminoacyl-tRNA synthetases). tRNAs cope with the degeneracy of the genetic code in two manners: having more than one tRNA (with a specific anti-codon) for a particular amino acid; and 'wobble' base-pairing, i.e. permitting non-standard base-pairing at the 3rd anti-codon position. RNAcentral also lists the same sequence under 1 other name. Lineage: Eukaryota; Metazoa; Chordata; Mammalia; Carnivora; Canidae. The record is from Rfam by way of RNAcentral.